Myotis lucifugus (little brown bat) is the source of this 127-nucleotide non-coding RNA. The record is from Rfam. Lineage: Eukaryota; Metazoa; Chordata; Mammalia; Chiroptera; Vespertilionidae.
GUCUACGGCCAUACCACCCUGAACGCGCCCGAUCUCGUCUGAUCUCGGAAGCUAAGCAGGGUCGGGCCUGGUUAGUACUUGGAUGGGAGAAAUGAGAAAGGAGGCUGAAAAGAAGGUGUGGUUGUUC